GAUCAUGGCUCAGGAUGAACGCUAGCUACAGGUUUAACACAUGCAAGUCGAGGGGCAGCGGGAUUGAAGCCUGCUUCAAUUGCCGGCGACCGGCGCACGGGUGAGUAACGCGUAUCCAACCUUCCGCAUACUCGGGGAUAGCCUUCUGAAAAGGAGAUUAAUACCCGAUGGUAUCAAGAGACUGCAUGAUAACUUGAUUAAAGAAUUUCGGUAUGCGAUGGGGAUGCGUUCCA
Molecule: ribosomal RNA, 233 nt
Filed under: uncultured bacterium
Lineage: Bacteria
Description: partial 16S ribosomal RNA
Rfam family: Bacterial small subunit ribosomal RNA
Source: RNAcentral